GGUGCAGUAGCUCAGCUGGAUAGAGCAAUAGCCUUCUAAGCUAUCGGUCGCAGGUUCGAAUCCUGCCUGCAUCGCCA
Molecule: transfer RNA, 77 nt
Filed under: Gallicola sp.
Lineage: Bacteria; Bacillati; Bacillota; Tissierellia; Tissierellales; Peptoniphilaceae
Description: tRNA-Arg
Rfam family: tRNA
About the family: Transfer RNA (tRNA) molecules are approximately 80 nucleotides in length. Their secondary structure includes four short double-helical elements and three loops (D, anti-codon, and T loops).
Source: RNAcentral